GAAUAACAAAUAAAUUUUAAAAAUAAAAGAAUUACAAAGAAUAAAAAUAUAAGCUGAAAAAAAAAAACUCAAUUGAGACAAAAAUAAAACUAAAAGGACAAUUUACAAAUAAAUAAAGCAACAAAGCAUAAUUAAGGAUUAAAGCACAACACGCACAAAUGUUUGAGGACUAAAAGGGAAAUUGUCCCAAAUUCAAAAACGCAGCGUUUAACUAUAGGCUAAAUUAAAACUGCGUACAAAUCUCAGGUAAAAAUUAAACGAAAGAAAAUAUAAAAAGGAUCCAAUCAAAUAAUAGCGCAGACAGGAAGGAUGAAUUGCGGAAUUUACCCAUCUGAACCGCAAAGGCGCGGAUCCAGGCAACGAGCGGGUCGACGCGCGGAUCCUCUUCCCCUUAAACGACACUGUUUCUUCCCUUUUAUAAAACCAAACAUUUCCUUCAAAGAACAAAGAAAACAAUCGGCCAUCUCUAAAAUAAUCCUAGCCCCCUUUCCUUGAUUCUUCCUCAAUCAAAUCCCAAAUCUCUACCCUCAGACGCCGUACCCUCGCCUCUAACAGUGGCCGACGGUGAGUAAAUCUUCCCUUUCUAACCUCAUUUAGAAAAACAUUUAAGAAUCUAACACCUUCAACCACAAAGAAUCAAAAGAACGUCUCAACCUUGGUUGGAUUCAGUUUUAACGGAGGAGAAACUCUGACGAUAUUCCAACGAUUCUGGUGAGCCCUUAUCCUUUAUCCUCUUCUUUUUUGUUUAUAGUAGAUGCGAAAAUGAAAGCAAAAAAGCAACGAAAAAAAUUGAAAUAUAAUAAAUCACCUUCGAAUAAUAUUGAUUUUCUAAUUAUUCUUGUAUUUCAUUUAGUAUCCGUAUUGUAUUUCUGUAAAAAAAAAGAUCCCUUUACACUUGACUUCAUUCGGUUUUAUAGCUGAAAAAUAAAAAUAAAAAUAAAAUAAGAAAAUACAAAUUUUCUUGCUGUUAUUGGCUGUCAAUUGCUGCUUGCUGUUGUGGGUGUUAGUCUGUUGCAGGUGUGUAUGGCGUGGAGAAGCCGUUCGUGGGCGUGUUGACGUGAGCGUGAAGCAACGGCGCGUGUGGAAGCUGGCACGAAGGCAGCAGUGGUGUUGGAAGCUGCUAGAAACCAAUUGCGGCGCAAGGGAAAGAAACCCUUAGGGUUUCUGCUAAAAAAUGUCUUGGGCCGUUUGGGCCUGUCUCAGGAUAAUUGGGUAGGGUUUCAAUUGGGUUAAGGCUAUUAGGAAUUUAGGUUAAUAAUUUGCUUGUAAGUAGGCUAGGUAAUUGGGCUUGUAACAUGGACAUUGAAUUGCUAUUAUUGGGUUUUAUUUUGUUAUUAUUAUUUUUUAUUUUGGCUUUGGUAUGGUUUUGGUUUUAGUUUAGGCCCGGACAAAAUGAGCCUAUUACAUGGAGUGUCACACAUUUGAUUACUAUUAUUCCAUACAAAUUAGGUAAAAGUAAUGUAGAAUUAUAAAACGUUCUAUAACUUUUAUAACACUUAGGAUACUAAAUACAUUAUACAUGAAUAAUAUAGAAUUUAUAAUAUAAUCUUUAUAAACCUAAAUUUCUAUUAAUGGUACUGGCAUGAAAUGUGCUUUAAAACCUAAUUUCCUAAAUGAAACAUACUUUAACUGAAGAAAAUAAAAACGAACCCAAAAUUUGAAACUUUGCAAAACAUCCCGAUCCAUUGAACCAGAGAUCACUUUGAAAGUUUGAGUCAGGAAGGUAACUUGGGUGCUUUGGUGUAUCGAUUUUAUGCACAUUUUGAUUUCAAUUAAUGAUCCAAAAAAAAAAAUGAUAUAGUUCGUCACUAAGGUAGAAAAUUCUACAACCAAAUAUAUGAAAUGCCAAG
This 1850-nucleotide long non-coding RNA is filed under the name Gossypium barbadense (sea-island cotton). Its description in RNAcentral is "long non-coding RNA (GBAR_LNC009523)". Lineage: Eukaryota; Viridiplantae; Streptophyta; Magnoliopsida; Malvales; Malvaceae. The record is from RNAcentral.